ACACCGCUGAGGAGUCCCACAAUAGGAUGAAACGGCCAUCCAGUGU
RNAcentral lists this non-coding RNA (46 nucleotides) under Schistosoma mattheei. The record is from RNAcentral. Lineage: Eukaryota; Metazoa; Platyhelminthes; Trematoda; Strigeidida; Schistosomatidae.